GACGAACGCUGGCGGCGCGCUUAACACAUGCAAGUCGAACGGUAAGGCCCCUUCGGGGGUACACGAGUGGCGAACGGGUGAGUAACACGUGAGCAACCUGCCCUUGACUCUGGGAUAACAGUUGGAAACAGCUGCUAAUACCGGAUACGACCUUCGAUGACAUCAUCCGGAGGUGGAAAGCGAUUUAGCGGUCAAGGAUGGGCUCGCGGCCUAUCAGCUUGUUGGUGGGGUAACGGCUCACCAAGGCUUCGACGGGUAGCCGGCCUGAGAGGGCGACCGGCCACACUGGGACUGAGAUACGGCCCAGACUCCUACGGGAGGCAGCAGUGGGGAAUAUUGCACAAUGGGCGCAAGCCUGAUGCAGCAACGCCGCGUGCGGGAUGACGGCCUUCGGGUUGUAAACCGCUUUCAGUUCCGACGAAGCGCAAGUGACGGUAGGAACAGAAGAAGGACCGGCCAACUACGUGCCAGCCGCCGCCGUAA
RNAcentral lists this ribosomal RNA (483 nucleotides) under uncultured bacterium. RNAcentral describes it as "partial 16S ribosomal RNA". It matches the Rfam family "Bacterial small subunit ribosomal RNA", at positions 28 to 523 of the family's 1533-position model. The record is from RNAcentral.